This 253-nucleotide ribosomal RNA is filed under the name uncultured bacterium. Its description in RNAcentral is "partial 16S ribosomal RNA". It matches the Rfam family "Bacterial small subunit ribosomal RNA", at positions 524 to 776 of the family's 1533-position model. The record is from RNAcentral.
UACAGAGGUCUCAACCGUUGUUCGGAUUCAUUGGGCGUAAAGGGUGCGUAGGCGGUCGCGCAAGUCGGAUGUGAAAUCUCAGGGCUCAACCCUGAAACUGCAUUCGAUACUGCGUGGCUCGAGUGCUGGAGAGGAGACUGGAAUUUACGGUGUAGCAGUGAAAUGCGUAGAUAUCGUAAGGAAGACCAGUGGCGAAGGCGAGUCUCUGGACAGCAACUGACGCUGAGGCACGAAGGCCAGGGGAGCAAACGGG